RNAcentral lists this ribosomal RNA (1490 nucleotides) under Lacticaseibacillus casei. RNAcentral's name for it is "bacterial SSU rRNA". It matches the Rfam family "Bacterial small subunit ribosomal RNA". The record is from RNAcentral. Lineage: Bacteria; Bacillati; Bacillota; Bacilli; Lactobacillales; Lactobacillaceae.
AUGACGCUGGCGGCGUGCCUAAUACAUGCAAGUCGAACGAGUUCUCGUUGAUGAUCGGUGCUUGCACCGAGAUUCAACAUGGAACGAGUGGCGGACGGGUGAGUAACACGUGGGUAACCUGCCCUUAAGUGGGGGAUAACAUUUGGAAACAGAUGCUAAUACCGCAUAGAUCCAAGAACCGCAUGGUUCUUGGCUGAAAGAUGGCGUAAGCUAUCGCUUUUGGAUGGACCCGCGGCGUAUUAGCUAGUUGGUGAGGUAAUGGCUCACCAAGGCGAUGAUACGUAGCCGAACUGAGAGGUUGAUCGGCCACAUUGGGACUGAGACACGGCCCAAACUCCUACGGGAGGCAGCAGUAGGGAAUCUUCCACAAUGGACGCAAGUCUGAUGGAGCAACGCCGCGUGAGUGAAGAAGGCUUUCGGGUCGUAAAACUCUGUUGUUGGAGAAGAAUGGUCGGCAGAGUAACUGUUGUCGGCGUGACGGUAUCCAACCAGAAAGCCACGGCUAACUACGUGCCAGCAGCCGCGGUAAUACGUAGGUGGCAAGCGUUAUCCGGGAUUUAUUGGGCGUAAAGCGAGCGCAGGCGGUUUUUUAAGUCUGAUGUGAAAGCCCUCGGCUUAACCGAGGAAGCGCAUCGGAAACUGGGAAACUUGAGUGCAGAAGAGGACAGUGGAACUCCAUGUGUAGCGGUGAAAUGCGUAGAUAUAUGGAAGAACACCAGUGGCGAAGGCGGCUGUCUGGUCUGUAACUGACGCUGAGGCUCGAAAGCAUGGGUAGCGAACAGGAUUAGAUACCCUGGUAGUCCAUGCCGUAAACGAUGAAUGCUAGGUGUUGGAGGGUUUCCGCCCUUCAGUGCCGCAGCUAACGCAUUAAGCAUUCCGCCUGGGGAGUACGACCGCAAGGUUGAAACUCAAAGGAAUUGACGGGGGCCCGCACAAGCGGUGGAGCAUGUGGUUUAAUUCGAAGCAACGCGAAGAACCUUACCAGGUCUUGACAUCUUUUGAUCACCUGAGAGAUCAGGUUUCCCCUUCGGGGGCAAAAUGACAGGUGGUGCAUGGUUGUCGUCAGCUCGUGUCGUGAGAUGUUGGGUUAAGUCCCGCAACGAGCGCAACCCUUAUGACUAGUUGCCAGCAUUUAGUUGGGCACUCUAGUAAGACUGCCGGUGACAAACCGGAGGAAGGUGGGGAUGACGUCAAAUCAUCAUGCCCCUUAUGACCUGGGCUACACACGUGCUACAAUGGAUGGUACAACGAGUUGCGAGACCGCGAGGUCAAGCUAAUCUCUUAAAGCCAUUCUCAGUUCGGACUGUAGGCUGCAACUCGCCUACACGAAGUCGGAAUCGCUAGUAAUCGCGGAUCAGCACGCCGCGGUGAAUACGUUCCCGGGCCUUGUACACACCGCCCGUCACACCAUGAGAGUUUGUAACACCCGAAGCCGGUGGCGUAACCCUUUUAGGGAGCGAGCCGUCUAAGGUGGGACAAAUGAUUAGGGG